RNAcentral lists this long non-coding RNA (640 nucleotides) under Anas platyrhynchos platyrhynchos (common mallard). RNAcentral describes it as "lncRNA (ENSAPLG00000022312.1)". Lineage: Eukaryota; Metazoa; Chordata; Aves; Anseriformes; Anatidae. The record is from RNAcentral.
GGGCUACAGCUGAAGGUUAAAAUUCCCAUUUUCUUGAGUGGGCAGUGAUGGUAUACUUGUAGCAGAGAUAAGUGGUGGUGGUAUUCUAUGCACUUUAGAUGUUGCUCCUUCCCCCUGUCAUAUGACUGCUUUGCCUCUCUGGGAAGAGAAACCCCAGACACAAAUCAGUGUAAAUCACCAAGCUAGGAAUGCACUAAGUUAGAAAGAGAUUUCACAGGUGAAAAAUGUAACCUUAAUGAUAGUCCUUAAGCAUUAAGGGAUGAGCCCUUGAAGCUCCUUAAUGCUCCUGCUCUGUGUCAUUCUACUACCACACGUUCUUGCCUUACACAGGAAUCAACUCUUCUGAGCUGUGUUUAACACUGGAUAAUUUCCUUCUUCUUCAUUAUUGUGGUUGUCCAGGGUAUUGUUUCCAGACUGUGUGUUAUCUUUACAUUUACCCUAUCAGCAGCACUUUUGCUCCUGGCCAGUGAUAUUGGAAUGCUCAUAACAUCUAGCAGGAAUCAAGAGAAAUGCCAACAAAAGGCCAUUGUGUUAGCUUUUCCUGGUGGAAAAUGAGCUUUGUAUAAAGCUUCAUGUUGCAUUGUGCUAUUUCUGCCCUUCCACAACAUCAAAAGGUAAGGUUUGUAUCCAGGCUAAAAAC